UGAAUAAGAACCUAUAGGGUGGCUAAAUCAGCCAAUACAUGACCUAUAUCCAACUCGUUCUAAGCCCGUUUUGGCCCGUCCAAAUGUAAUCCAGCACGCCCAUUUGACACACUUGAUGAAUUAUCUCGAAAAUGUUGAUUUCACAGCCCUAGUGAAAUCCUUAAAGAAUGCACCAAUUGCUUCAUACUCUGCAAGAGCUCUAACAUCAGAAUUACACCGUAACAAUUGAGGAAAAAAUAGCCACAAACCCGUGAUCAUAACGAAUCCAACGGUCAAGAUUGUCCCGAUUAUCCGUGGGAGCUUAAAUCUACCGUUCAUCACCUUCUUAGCAUAAAUCUCUAGGUUCAAACAAACCCCAUGUAGCAAAAAGAACCAAGUGAUCUCCCAAGUGGGCUUAACCCGGCCCAAAUAGUAAAAUAUCAGCUCAUGCAUAAGGCCCGAAACAACAAAUGUAGCCAUCACCGCGGGAAUUGGGGCCCACUUUCGGCCCAAAAUAUUCGCGGAGAGGCUUAGAACGGGCUUAUAUAUAGUGGGCCUAAGGAUACGAGUGACAAUGAGAUUCCAACGCCGGCCCCAAAAAUCUUGUAGUGAAG
RNAcentral lists this unclassified non-coding RNA (593 nucleotides) under Hevea brasiliensis (rubber tree). The record is from RNAcentral. Lineage: Eukaryota; Viridiplantae; Streptophyta; Magnoliopsida; Malpighiales; Euphorbiaceae.